Molecule: long non-coding RNA, 322 nt
Organism: Populus euphratica (Euphrates poplar)
Lineage: Eukaryota; Viridiplantae; Streptophyta; Magnoliopsida; Malpighiales; Salicaceae
Exons: 2
Source: RefSeq, a predicted model, not a curated record
GGAUCUUGAGGAUCACAGUUCGACAACUUCCAUAAUUUGUAACGAUUAUUAUGACAAUUAACAGCUCUUUCUGUAUGUAUCAAGGUGACGUUCAAGCGCGGCGUAUCCUUAUCCUACUGAAUUUACACCCCAACCAGCUGCCUGUGAUCCAAACAUGGAUGAUCAAUCCUCCCAGCAAAAUCCUAUUCCUGUGAAGACUAAAUCCACGGGAUGGUAAGCCCACUUGUCUUGAUCUAUCUCUAGAGGGAUUAGUCAGCAUAAUUAAUCUUUACAUUUGAGUGUAAAAUGAAUUAUAUAUUGUCAGGAAAUGUGGCCAAAUAAA